GUUUUGCAUCGUUUUUCGUUCCGGAACCGAAUGCUCAAAAACACUCCCAAACAUGUUCUAGGGUAUAAUUAGGAAGAUUGCAUGCAUUCGUUGCGAAAAAAAUCCACCCGAGUUUCGCUACCCGGCAAUAGUGCAUUCGGGUGCCGAAAUGCACCCGUUUUGCAUCAUUUUUCGUUCCGGAACCGAAUGCUCAAAAACACUCCCAAACAUGUUCUAGGGUAUAAUUUGGAAGAUUGCAUGCGUUCGUUGCGAAAAAAUCCACCCGAGUUUCGCUACCCGGCAAUAGUUCAUUCGGGUGCCGAAAUGCACCCAUUUUGCCUCGUUUUUCGUGCCGGAACGGAAUGCUCAAAAACACUCCCAACCAUGUUCUAGUCUAUAAUUAGGAAGAUUGCAUGCGUUCGUUGCGAAAAAAUCCACCCGAGUUUCGCUACACGGAAAUAGUGCGUUCGGGUGCCGAAAUGCACCCAUUUUGCCCCGUUUUUCGUUCCGGAACCGAAUGCUCAAAAAAACACCCCCAAACAUGUUCUAGGGUAUAAUUGGGAAGAUUGCAUGCGUUCGUUGCGAAAAAAUCCACCCGAGUUUCGCUACCCAGCAAUAGUGCAUUCGGGUGCCGAAAUGCACCCGUUUUGCAUCAUUUUUCGUUCCGGAACCGAAUGCUCAAAAACACUCCCAAACAUGUUCUAGGUUAUAAUUAGGAAGAUUGCAUGCCUUCGUUGCGAAAAAAUCCACCCGAGUUUCGCUACGAGGAAAUUGUGCAUUCGGGUGCUGAAAUGCACCCGUUUUGCAUCGUUUUUCGUGCCAUAACCGAAUGCUCAAAAAGACUCCCAAACAUGUUCUAGGGUAUAAUUAGGAAGAUUGCAUACGUUUGUUGCGAAAAAAUCCACCCGAGUUUCGCUACCCGGAAAUAGUGCAUUCGGGUGCCGAAAUGCAGCCGUUUUGCAUCAUUUUUCAUGCUAGAACCGAAUGCUCAAAAACACUCCCAAACAUGUUCUAGGGUCUAAUUACGUAGAUUGGAUGCGUUCGUUGCGAAAAAAAUCCACCUGAAUUUCGCUACCCGGAAAUAGUGCAUUCGGGUGCCGAAAUGCACCCAUUUUGCAUCAUUUUUUGUUCCGGAAUCGAAUGCUCAAAAACACUCCGAAACAUGUUCUAGGGUCUAAUUAUGAAGAUUGCAUGCGUUCGUUGCGAAAAAAUCUACCCGAGUUUCGCUACCCGGAAAUAGUGCAUUCGGUUGCUGAAAUGCACCCGUUUUGCAUCGUUUUUCGUGCCGGAACCGAAUGCUCAAAAACACUCCAAAACAUGUUCUAGGGUCUAAUUAGGAAGAUUGCAUGCAUUCGUUGCGAAAAAAUGCACCCGAGUUUCGCUACCCGGAAAUAGUGCAUUCGGGUGCCGAAUUGCACCUGUUUUGUAUCGUUUUUCGUUCUGGAACCGUUGCUCAAAAACACUCCCAAACAUGUUCUAGGGUAUAAUUAUGAAGAUUGCAUGCGUUCGUUGCGAAAAAAUCCACCCGAGUUUCGCUACACGGAAAAAGUGCAUUCGGGUGCCGAAAUGCACCCGUUUUGCAUCGUUUUUCGUUCCGGAACCGAAUCCUCAAAAAGACUCCCAAACAUGUUCUAGGGUAUAAUUAGGAAGAUUGCAUGCGUUCGUUGCGAAAAAAUCCACCCGAGUUUCGCUACACGGAAAAAGUGCAUUCGGGUGCCGAAAUGCACCCGUUUUGCAUCGUUUUUCGUUCCGGAACCGAAUGCUCAAAAAGACUCCCAAACAUGUUCUAGGGUAUAAUUAGGAAGAUUGCAUGCGUUCGUUGCGAAAAAAUCCACCCGAGUUUCGCUACACGGAAAAAGUGCAUUCGGGUGCCGAAAUGCACCCGAUUUGCCUCGUUUUUCGUUCCGGAACCGAAUGCUCAAAAACACUCCUAAACAUGUUCUAGGGUCUAAUUAUGAAGAUUGCAUGCGUUCGUUGCAAAAAAAUCUACCCGAGUUUCGCUACCCGGAAAUAGUGCAUUCGGUUGCUGAAAUGCACCUGUUUUGCAUCGUUUUUCGUGCCGGAACCGAAUGCUCAAAAACACUCCAAAACAUGUUCUAGGGUCUAAUUAGGAAGAUUGCAUGCAUUCGUUGCGAAAAAAUGCACCCGAGUUUCGCUACCCGGAAAUAGUGCAUUCGGGUGCCGAAAUGCAGCCGUUUUGCAUCAUUUUUCAUGCUAGAACCGAAUGCUCAAAAACACUCCCAAACAUGUUCUAGGGUCUAAUUACGUAGAUUGGAUGCGUUCGUUGCGAAAAAAAUCCACCUGAAUUUCGCUACCCGGAAAUAGUGCAUUCGGGUGCCGAAAUGCACCCAUUUUGCAUCAUUUUUUGUUCCGGAAUCGAAUGCUCAAAAACACUCCGAAACAUGUUCUAGGGUCUAAUUAUGAAGAUUGCAUGCGUUCGUUGCGAAAAAAUCUACCCGAGUUUCGCUACCCGGAAAUAGUGCAUUCGGUUGCUGAAAUGCACCCGUUUUGCAUCGUUUUUCGUGCCGGAACCGAAUGCUCAAAAACACUCCAAAACAUGUUCUAGGGUCUAAUUAGGAAGAUUGCAUGCAUUCGUUGCGAAAAAAUGCACCCGAGUUUCGCUACCCGGAAAUAGUGCAUUCGGGUGCCGAAUUGCACCUGUUUUGUAUCGUUUUUCGUUCUGGAACCGUUGCUCAAAAACACUCCCAAACAUGUUCUAGGGUAUAAUUAUGAAGAUUGCAUGCGUUCGUUGCGAAAAAAUCCACCCGAGUUUCGCUACACGGAAAAAGUGCAUUCGGGUGCCGAAAUGCACCCGUUUUGCAUCGUUUUUCGUUCCGGAACCGAAUGCUCAAAAAGACUCCCAAACAUGUUCUAGGGUAUAAUUAGGAAGAUUGCAUGCGUUCGUUGCGAAAAAAUCCACCCGAGUUUCGCUACACGGAAAAAGUGCAUUCGGGUGCCGAAAUGCACCCGAUUUGCCUCGUUUUUCGUUCCGGAACCGAAUGCUCAAAAACACUCCUAAACAUGUUCUAGGGUAUAAUUAGGAAGAUUGCAUGCGUUCGUUGCGAAAAAAUCCGCCCGAGUCUCGCUACCCGGCAAUAGUGCAUUCGGGUGCCGAAAUGCACCCGUUUUGCAUCAUUUUUCGUUCCGGAACCGAAUGCUCAAAAACACUCCCAAACAUGUUCUAGGGUAUAAUUAGGAAGAUUGCAUGCGUUCGUUGUGAAAAAAUCCACCCGAGUGUUGCUACCCGGCAAUAGUGCAUUCGGGUGCCGAAUUGCACCCGUUUUGCAUCAUUUUUCGUUCCGGAACCGAAUGCUCAAAAACACUCCCAAACAUGUUCUAGGGUAUAAUUAGGAAGAUUGCAUGCGUUCGUUGCGAAAAAAUCCACCCGAGUGUCGCUACCCGGCAAUAGUGCAUUCGGUUGCCGAAAUGCACCCGUUUUGUAUCGUUUUUGUUCUGGAACCGUUGCUCAAAAACACUCCAAAACAUGUUCUAUGGUCUAAUUAGGAAGAUUGCAUGCAUUCGUUGCGAAAAAAUCCACCCGAGUUUCGCUACCCGGAAAUAGUGCAUUCGGGUGCCGAAUUGCACCUGUUUUGUAUCGUUUUUCGUUCUGGAACCGUUGCUCAAAAACACUCCCAAACAUGUUCUAGGGUAUAAUUAUGAAGAUUGCAUGCGUUCGUUGCGAAAAAAUCCACUCGAGUUUCGCUACACGGAAAAAGUGCAUUCGGGUGCCGAAAUGCACCCGUUUUGCAUCGUUUUUCGUUCCGGAACCGAAUGCUCAAAAACACUCCCAAACAUGUUCUAGGGUAUAAUUAGGAAGAUUGCAUGCAUUCGUUGCGAAAAAAUCCACCCGAGUUUCGCUACCCGGCAAUAGUGCAUUCGGGUGCCGAAAUGCACCCGUUUUGCAUCAUUUUUCGUUCCGGAACCGAAUGCUCAAAAACACUCCCAAACAUGUUCUAGGGUAUAAUUUGGAAGAUUGCAUGCGUUCGUUGCGAAAAAAUGCACCCGAGUUUCGCUACACGGAAAAAGUGCAUUCGGGUACCGAAAUGCACCCGUUUUGCAUCGUUUUUCGUUCCGGAACCGAAUGCUCAAAAACACUCCCAAACAUGUUCUAGGGUAUAAUUAGGAAGAUUGCAUGCAUUCGUUGCGAAAAAAUCCACCCGAGUUUCGCUACCCGGCAAUAGUGCAUUCGGGUGCCGAAAUGCACCCGUUUUGCAUCAUUUUUCGUUCCGGAACCGAAUGCUCAAAAACACUCCCAAACAUGUUCUAGGGUAUAAUUUGGAAGAUUGCAUGCGUUCGUUGCGAAAAAAAUCCACCCGAGUUUCGCUACCCGGCAAUAGUUCAUUCGGGUGCCGAAAUGCACCCAUUUUGCCUCGUUUUUCGUGCCGGAACGGAAUGCUCAAAAACACUCCCAACCAUGUUCUAGUCUAUAAUUAGGAAGAUUGCAUGCGUUCGUUGCGAAAAAAUCCACCCGAGUUUCGCUACACGGAAAUAGUGCGUUCGGGUGCCGAAAUGCACCCAUUUUGCCCCGUUUUUCGUUCCGGAACCGAAUGCUCAAAAAAACACCCCCAAACAUGUUCUAGGGUAUAAUUGGGAAGAUUGCAUGCGUUCGUUGCGAAAAAAUCCACCCGAGUUUCGCUACCCAGCAAUAGUGCAUUCGGGUGCCGAAAUGCACCCGUUUUGCAUCAUUUUUCGUUCCGGAACCGAAUGCUCAAAAACACUCCCAAACAUGUUCUAGGUUAUAAUUAGGAAGAUUGCAUGCCUUCGUUGCGAAAAAAUCCACCCGAGUUUCGCUACGAGGAAAUUGUGCAUUCGGGUGCUGAAAUGCACCCGUUUUGCAUCGUUUUUCGUGCCAUAACCGAAUGCUCAAAAAGACUCCCAAACAUGUUCUAGGGUAUAAUUAGGAAGAUUGCAUACGUUUGUUGCGAAAAAAUCCACCCGAGUUUCGCUACCCGGAAAUAGUGCAUUCGGGUGCCGAAAUGCAGCCGUUUUGCAUCAUUUUUCAUGCUAGAACCGAAUGCUCAAAAACACUCCCAAACAUGUUCUAGGGUCUAAUUACGUAGAUUGGAUGCGUUCGUUGCGAAAAAAAUCCACCUGAAUUUCGCUACCCGGAAAUAGUGCAUUCGGGUGCCGAAAUGCACCCAUUUUGCAUCAUUUUUUGUUCCGGAAUCGAAUGCUCAAAAACACUCCGAAACAUGUUCUAGGGUCUAAUUAUGAAGAUUGCAUGCGUUCGUUGCGAAAAAAUCUACCCGAGUUUCGCUACCCGGAAAUAGUGCAUUCGGUUGCUGAAAUGCACCCGUUUUGCAUCGUUUUUCGUGCCGGAACCGAAUGCUCAAAAACACUCCAAAACAUGUUCUAGGGUCUAAUUAGGAAGAUUGCAUGCAUUCGUUGCGAAAAAAUGCACCCGAGUUUCGCUACCCGGAAAUAGUGCAUUCGGGUGCCGAAUUGCACCUGUUUUGUAUCGUUUUUCGUUCUGGAACCGUUGCUCAAAAACACUCCCAAACAUGUUCUAGGGUAUAAUUAUGAAGAUUGCAUGCGUUCGUUGCGAAAAAAUCCACCCGAGUUUCGCUACACGGAAAAAGUGCAUUCGGGUGCCGAAAUGCACCCGUUUUGCAUCGUUUUUCGUUCCGGAACCGAAUCCUCAAAAAGACUCCCAAACAUGUUCUAGGGUAUAAUUAGGAAGAUUGCAUGCGUUCGUUGCGAAAAAAUCCACCCGAGUUUCGCUACACGGAAAAAGUGCAUUCGGGUGCCGAAAUGCACCCGUUUUGCAUCGUUUUUCGUUCCGGAACCGAAUGCUCAAAAAGACUCCCAAACAUGUUCUAGGGUAUAAUUAGGAAGAUUGCAUGCGUUCGUUGCGAAAAAAUCCACCCGAGUUUCGCUACACGGAAAAAGUGCAUUCGGGUGCCGAAAUGCACCCGAUUUGCCUCGUUUUUCGUUCCGGAACCGAAUGCUCAAAAACACUCCUAAACAUGUUCUAGGGUCUAAUUAUGAAGAUUGCAUGCGUUCGUUGCAAAAAAAUCUACCCGAGUUUCGCUACCCGGAAAUAGUGCAUUCGGUUGCUGAAAUGCACCUGUUUUGCAUCGUUUUUCGUGCCGGAACCGAAUGCUCAAAAACACUCCAAAACAUGUUCUAGGGUCUAAUUAGGAAGAUUGCAUGCAUUCGUUGCGAAAAAAUGCACCCGAGUUUCGCUACCCGGAAAUAGUGCAUUCGGGUGCCGAAAUGCAGCCGUUUUGCAUCAUUUUUCAUGCUAGAACCGAAUGCUCAAAAACACUCCCAAACAUGUUCUAGGGUCUAAUUACGUAGAUUGGAUGCGUUCGUUGCGAAAAAAAUCCACCUGAAUUUCGCUACCCGGAAAUAGUGCAUUCGGGUGCCGAAAUGCACCCAUUUUGCAUCAUUUUUUGUUCCGGAAUCGAAUGCUCAAAAACACUCCGAAACAUGUUCUAGGGUCUAAUUAUGAAGAUUGCAUGCGUUCGUUGCGAAAAAAUCUACCCGAGUUUCGCUACCCGGAAAUAGUGCAUUCGGUUGCUGAAAUGCACCCGUUUUGCAUCGUUUUUCGUGCCGGAACCGAAUGCUCAAAAACACUCCAAAACAUGUUCUAGGGUCUAAUUAGGAAGAUUGCAUGCAUUCGUUGCGAAAAAAUGCACCCGAGUUUCGCUACCCGGAAAUAGUGCAUUCGGGUGCCGAAUUGCACCUGUUUUGUAUCGUUUUUCGUUCUGGAACCGUUGCUCAAAAACACUCCCAAACAUGUUCUAUGGUAUAAUUAUGAAGAUUGCAUGCGUUCGUUGCGAAAAAAUCCACCCGAGUUUCGCUACACGGAAAAAGUGCAUUUGGGUGCCGAAAUGCACCCGUUUUGCAUCGUUUUUCGUUCCGGAACCGAAUCCUCAAAAAGACUCCCAAACAUGUUCUAGGGUAUAAUUAGGAAGAUUGCAUGCGUUCGUUGCGAAAAAAUCCACCCGAGUUUCGCUACACGGAAAAAGUGCAUUCGGGUGCCGAAAUGCACCCGUUUUGCAUCGUUUUUCGUUCCGGAACCGAAUGCUCAAAAAGACUCCCAAACAUGUUCUAGGGUAUAAUUAGGAAGAUUGCAUGCGUUCGUUGCGAAAAAAUCCACCCGAGUUUCGCUACACGGAAAAAGUGCAUUCGGGUGCCGAAAUGCACCCGAUUUGCCUCGUUUUUCGUUCCGGAACCGAAUGCUCAAAAACACUCCUAAACAUGUUCUAGGGUAUAAUUAGGAAGAUUGCAUGCGUUCGUUGCGAAAAAAUCCGCCCGAGUCUCGCUACCCGGCAAUAGUGCAUUCGGGUGCCGAAAUGCACCCGUUUUGCAUCAUUUUUCGUUCCGGAACCGAAUGCUCAAAAACACUCCCAAACAUGUUCUAGGGUAUAAUUAGGAAGAUUGCAUGCGUUCGUUGUGAAAAAAUCCACCCGAGUGUUGCUACCCCGGCAAUAGUGCAUUCGGGUGCCGAAUUGCACCCGUUUUGCAUCAUUUUUCGUUCCGGAACCGAAUGCUCAAAAACACUCCCAAACAUGUUCUAGGGUAUAAUGUGGAAGAUUGCAUGCGUUCGUUGCGAAAAAAUCCACCCGAGUGUCGCUACCCCGGCAAUAGUGCAUUCGGUUGCCGAAAUGCACCCGUUUUGUAUCGUUUUUGUUCUGGAACCGUUGCUCAAAAACACUCCAAAACAUGUUCUAUGGUCUAAUUAGGAAGAUUGCAUGCAUUCGUUGCGAAAAAAUCCACCCGAGUUUCGCUACCCCGGAAAUAGUGCAUUCGGGUGCCGAAUUGCACCUGUUUUGUAUCGUUUUUCGUUCUGGAACCGUUGCUCAAAAACACUCCCAAACAUGUUCUAGGGUAUAAUUAUGAAGAUUGCAUGCGUUCGUUGCGAAAAAAUCCACUCGAGUUUCGCUACACGGAAAAAGUGCAUUCGGGUGCCGAAAUGCACCCGUUUUGCAUCGUUUUUCGUUCCGGAACCGAAUGCUCAAAAACACUCCCAAACAUGUUCUAGGGUAUAAUUAGGAAGAUUGCAUGCAUUCGUUGCGAAAAAAUCCACCCGAGUUUCGCUACCCGGCAAUAGUGCAUUCGGGUGCCGAAAUGCACCCGUUUUGCAUCAUUUUUCGUUCCGGAACCGAAUGCUCAAAAACACUCCCAAACAUGUUCUAGGGUAUAAUUUGGAAGAUUGCAUGCGUUCGUUGCGAAAAAAUCCACCCGAGUUUCGCUACCCGGCAAUAGUUCAUUCGGGUGCCGAAAUGCACCCAUUUUGCCUCGUUUUUCGUGCCGGAACGGAAUGCUCAAAAACACUCCCAACCAUGUUCUAGUCUAUAAUUAGGAAGAUUGCAUGCGUUCGUUGCGAAAAAAUCCACCCGAGUUUCGC
RNAcentral lists this long non-coding RNA (8335 nucleotides) under Setaria viridis. Its description in RNAcentral is "long non-coding RNA (SVIR_LNC010741)". The record is from RNAcentral. Lineage: Eukaryota; Viridiplantae; Streptophyta; Magnoliopsida; Poales; Poaceae.